GAUCCUGGCUCAGAUUGAACGCUGGCGGCAGGCUUAACACAUGCAAGUCGAGCGGAGACUUCGGUCUUAGCGGCGAACGGGUGAGUAAUACCUAGGAAUCUGCCUAUUAGUGGGGGAUAACAGUUGGAAACGACUGCUAAUACCGCAUACGCCCUACGGGGGAAAGGAGGGGACCUUCGGGCCUUUCGCGAUUGGAUGAACCCAGGUGGGAUUAGCUAGUUGGUGGGGUAAUGGCUCACCAAGGCGACGAUCCCUAGCUGGUCUGAGAGGAUGAUCAGCCACACUGGAACUGAGACACGGUCCAGACUCCUACGGGAGGCAGCAGUGGGGAAUAUUGCACAAUGGGGGAAACCCUGAUGCAGCCAUGCCGCGUGUGUGAAGAAGGCCUUCGGGUUGUAAAGCACUUUCAGCGAGGAGGAAAGGUUGGCACCUAAUACGUGUCAACUGUGACGUUACUCGCAGAAGAAGCACCGGCUAACUCCGUG
This 485-nucleotide ribosomal RNA is filed under the name uncultured bacterium. RNAcentral describes it as "bacterial SSU rRNA". It matches the Rfam family "Bacterial small subunit ribosomal RNA", at positions 15 to 507 of the family's 1533-position model. The record is from RNAcentral.